CAGUGCGCCAGAUGAGUGGUGGGCCAAGCAAAAUGAAGCAAUGCCAGGUUGUAUUAUGUUCAAAACAGCCCCCCUAGAGAAUGAGGACGAGCUAAAGGUUAUGUUUGGACCCAUUGUCUGCACAAAUGAAAGAACCCUGGUUCCUGGCGUGGAGGAUGCUAAUUCAUCUUCUGAUGAUCAUUUGGAAUACACUUUAGGUGGGGGUGAAAACAGCACACCUGACCCCUGCACAAAUGCUACUGGGAAGCGUAAGAUGCGCCAUGAUUCCCCAAAACCAAAGAAGAAAAAAGAUUCGAGGGAAGAGUACAUGAAAAGACUUGUCGAGGCUUUUGAGUCCCGCUCAUUGACCACAAACAAGUCCAUUACUUCUUCUGACAAUGACCCGGUUCGAUUAGAAAUUAAAAACCAGUUGCUACAAGUCAAGGAAGAUGGAUCACCUGAAGGGAGCGAACUACAUUUGUUUGCGACGCAUCUUCUGAUUCAUAAGAAGUAUAGAGAUGUUUUUGCAAACUUGGAGACAAAAGAAGGAAGAAUCGCUUGGCUUCGCAAUGCUUACGAGUUAGAAACUAAAAAGAGCUCUUAGCUGGUGGACGUCCGACAACAGAGUCGUACAUGUUUGCUGCUAGUUGUGUCUGCUUAAUGAGUCCACCUACAUGUUGCUGGUCCGACAACUCAGGCUUAUAUGUUCAGUAUGUUAGUUGUGUCUGCUUAAUGAGUCAUGCUGUCUCAGUUUUCGUUACUAUCAUUUUCGCUUGAAAACAAUUUUCCACAAAAUCGAGUUGAACAUGUAUGAGAAUAAUCAGAGUUGUAAUCGCU
Long non-coding RNA from Zea mays, 816 nucleotides. RefSeq lists it as uncharacterized. The transcript is spliced from 2 exons. Lineage: Eukaryota; Viridiplantae; Streptophyta; Magnoliopsida; Poales; Poaceae. The record is from RefSeq and is a predicted model, not a curated record.